GCCGGGGUGGCCGAGCGGUCUAAGGCGGCGGGCUGCAGACCCGCUAAAUCGCGGGUUCGAAUCCCGCCCCCGGCU
Molecule: transfer RNA, 75 nt
Filed under: Desulfurococcaceae archaeon
Lineage: Archaea; Thermoproteati; Thermoproteota; Thermoprotei; Desulfurococcales; Desulfurococcaceae
Description: tRNA-Cys
Rfam family: tRNA
About the family: Transfer RNA (tRNA) molecules are approximately 80 nucleotides in length. Their secondary structure includes four short double-helical elements and three loops (D, anti-codon, and T loops).
Source: RNAcentral